AUAGUGUAUAAAACCAAUAAGCUCUCAACGUUAGCAGCAGAUGGUAAAAAUGAAACUGAUUCUUAUUGCACUUAUAGUUCUGGUUUCGGCCGGGCUAAUACUAGCCGAGCAUAGUGAUGUGCGCUCAAUCGAAACACCCCUGGUGAUGUUGGUGAAACGAUCACCCCAGAUUAAGGCAUGCAUGAUGAAACCACUCUGCAGACGCAGACAUUUAGAGCAAAUCGGCGGAUAGCAUUCGAUCAGAACGGAAGACUUCAAAUCAAUGUUGUGUGGAAAGCGACGUCAAUUACAUGGAAUGUAUGUAAUUGUAUUGUGAAUUAAAUGUCGGCUGUUGGUAAUGGAAGAGGCUUUUGUGUUUAUUGUAUUUUAUUUGAGAGCGAUCAAUAGUAAACAAAAUUUGUUCGUAUGAAA
This is a long non-coding RNA of Toxorhynchites rutilus septentrionalis, 411 nucleotides long. RefSeq lists it as uncharacterized. The transcript has 4 exons. NCBI's taxonomy places the organism in Eukaryota, Metazoa, Arthropoda, Insecta, Diptera, Culicidae. The record is from RefSeq and is a predicted model, not a curated record.